UGGAAGUGAGGCUGAGGGGCCAAAGCAAACGCUUAUUGGCAUCGUGUUGGCAUACGCUUUGGCCCCUCAGCCUCACUUCCA
Molecule: non-coding RNA, 81 nt
Organism: Paramuricea clavata
Lineage: Eukaryota; Metazoa; Cnidaria; Anthozoa; Malacalcyonacea; Plexauridae
Source: the annotation of a GenBank genome assembly